Molecule: long non-coding RNA, 1502 nt
Filed under: Taeniopygia guttata (zebra finch)
Lineage: Eukaryota; Metazoa; Chordata; Aves; Passeriformes; Estrildidae
Description: lncRNA (ENSTGUG00000022918.1)
Source: RNAcentral
AGAAAUUGAGUAUUUUGGGGCGCAAUUGAGAAUUUUAGGGUAAAACUGAGAAUUUUGGGGCAGGAAUUGAGGAUUUUGAGUGGAAAUUGAGAAUUUUGAGGCAGAAAUUGAGAAUUUUGGGGCAGAAAUUGAGAAUUUUGUGGCAGAAAUUGAGGAUUUUGGGCUGGGAGGUCAGGAUUUUGGGGGAAAAUUGAGAAUUUUGGAGAGAAAUUGAGGAUUUUGGGGUGGGAAUUGAGAAUUUUGGGGCGGGAGUUCAUGAUUUUGGGGAAAAAAAUUCGAAUUUUAGGGUAAAAUUGAGAAUUUUGGGGCGGGAAUUGAGGAUUUUGAGGCAGAAUUGAGACUUUUGGGGUGGGAGUUCAGGAAUUUUGGGGAGAAAUUGGGUAUUUUGGGGCACAAUUGAGAAUUUUAGGGUAAAAUUGAGAAUUUUGGGGUGGGAGUUCAGGAUUUUGGGGAAAAUUGAGAAUUUUAGGGUAAAACUGAGAAUUUUGGGGCAGGAAUUGAGGAUUUUGGGGUAAAACUGAGAAUUUUGGGGCAGGAAUUGAGGAUUUUGAGUGGAAAUUGAGAAUUUUGGAGAGAAAUUGAGGAUUUUGGGGUGGGAAUUGAGAAUUUUGGGGCGGGAGUUCAUGAUUUUGGGGGAAAAAAUGAGAAUUUUAGGGUAAAAUUGAGAAUUUUGGGGUGGGAAUUGAAGAUUUUGAGUGGAAAUUGAGAAUUUUGGGGCAGAAAUUGAGGAUUUUGAGUGGAAAUUGAGGAUUUUGAGGCAGAAAUUUCAAAUUUUAUGGCGGAAAAUUCGAAUUUUCGUGUGGGAAUUCCCGAUUUGAGAGGCUCAAGUGUCGAAUUUAUGGCCCAAAAAUGACCCGAAAAAACCCCGAAAUUGGGUAAAUUGGGGCCGGGCUGGAAUUGGGGUGAAACCCCCCGAUUUUGGGUCCCCCAGCCCCAUUUUUCCUGCCAGGCCCGGCCGUGCCAUGGAGGAGGAGGAGGAGAAACCCCCCCGGGGGGGGGAGGAGCCGCGAGAGCAGCGGGAGGGACCCGGCCAGGGGCUACUGAAAGCUCUGCAGCGCCUCCUGAGCGGCGCCGGCACCUGGGGACAAGACCCCCCCCACAAGCCCCCCCGGCUGCAGCGCUGGUGCUGGGGAGCCCGGCCCGAGGGCGGCACGGUUUGGGAGCCCGUGGGGGGCCCGGGGGGGGCCCUGGAGCAGCUGCAGCUCAGCAGCGGGGAGGGGUCCCCCGAAGACGAGGAGCUGGAGUUGGUGGCCGAGGUCCGCGUGGCCGAUUUGGGGGGGCUGGCGGCCGCCUCGGGGCUCCUGCGCCGGGAGCGGCCCUGGAGAGCCCCCAAAGGAGGUCAGGGGGUCGGGGGGGGGAUUUGGGGGGAUUUGGGGGGAUUUGGGGGCAUUUUGGGGGGUUUUGGGAGGAUUUUGGGUGCAUUUCCGGGGGUUUUCAGGAGGGUUUGGGUGGAUUUGGGGGUGUUUGGGAUGGAUUUUGGGGGGGUUUGGGAUGGAUUUUGG